AGAGAGGGAGAGGUUGAAGAUGUGGGGGGAGGGCAAAAGGGGUAAAGGGGCACAUGUGUACAGUGAUGGAUGGCAACUAGACUAUUGGUGGGGAGCACAAUGCAGUCUAUACGGAAGGCAAAAUAUGAUGUACACCUGAAAUUUAUGCAAUGUUAUAAAUCAAUGUUACUUCAAUAAAAAAAAAUAAAUAAAAAUAUCAAAUGGGUGGUCUGUGAACUCCCAGAGAGAGAAAAGGUGAUCCUUAAGGAAACCAGCAUGAAUUUACUAAGACAAGACAGCCUGACAGACAGGCCUUGGUUUCUUUUGUGAUUUCUUUAUUAGACUAGCAGAUCAAAGGAAUCCUGUGGACAUAGAGGUUUCUGUAUUUCUGCAAAGCAUUUUUCAAAGACUUUCAUGGCAUCCUUGCAGAAAAGAUGGAGAAACUGGGUGGUUGAUAAGAUAAUUGAGCAGCAUAACCACUCCUUCCUAAGAAUGCUGAGCAAUGGAUCUAUUUUUGUCAACUCUGGCAAAUUUUGUCAAAGGUGUAUGUUGAACAGGGCUGUUUUCCUAGCAUGGUCCUUUUUAAGUACCCUGGAUAUGGGCUGAGUGGACCUGGUUAUCAGUGUACGGAGAACAAGAGGCUGGGAGGGAGUAUGAAUAAAUCAAAUGACAAAGCAGGUUCCAAAUUGGCAUUGGCCCAGGGAUGAUGUCUCAGCUAGUAUCUUUUGGAAUAAUGCAGGAUAAAUGCGUAAAUAAAUGCGAAAAUGGCCAUCUCUAUUAAAACGAAACUUAAAGUUUUAGUGUGCUAUCCUUGGAACCUAAGUUAAGGAUAUAGGUAGGAUAUAGGGAGAAGGAUAUAAGGGUAUAUAAGGAUAUUGGGAAAACUUGUUAAAUAGCAGCAUGUGGAAAAGAAGACUUGGGGAUUUUAGUGGCCUGAGGCCAGUAAGAACCAAGAGUGUGAUGAGGCUACAAAAGAAAAGGAAACAACAACAAAGGAAUCUUGGGCUGUUUAAGCAGAAAUAUAGUGUUCUGACUGUUCUAUGCUUUUGAUAAUCAAUCUUACUAUACUUUGAUUUAUUAUGUUCAAUUCUGGGAAACAUAUUUCUUGAGGGACGUAGACCAACUUGAACUCCUUCAUAGGAGUCAUAUCAUAUAGUGCUAUAAAUCAUGACAUAUGAGCAACAGCCAAAAUGAGUGAGGAUGGUUAGCUCAGAGAAUAAAAUAUUUAGGGGAAAAAGGAUGACUCUUACAGCAUUGAAAAAGAUGGGAUAUAAGACAGAAUUCUGUUUAGUUCCAAGAGGAAAAUAAGACCAAUGGAUGAAAGUUACAGGGUGGUAGAUUUCAGAUAAAAUAUAAACAAGUACUACUCAUAAUUAAGAGUCUGGAAUCGAAGUGGGUAAGCGCUCAGUGGUUGGAGAUGUUCAAACAGAUGACAUGGCAGAGGGGACUCCUCUGCUACAGAAAGGGGCGGACACUUACAACCUUAAGAUUCCUUUCAAUUUGGGAAUCCCGCAAAGCCCACUUCCGAUCUUCUGCUAUUUGGGGAUUUGUGUGUGUGUAUGUGUUUUCGUGUUCUUUCUACCUGAAACAGAAACGAAAUGUUUCAUGAGCAUAUGUCAGAGGUCUAGAAUAGUUAGGCACAAAUGAGAUAGAAGACCAGCAUCUAGAAUUUCCUUUGGAUCUCCCCUAUAAUGGCUAACGCACAAACCCUCAACAAAAGGCCUCUUUUCUUGAAGCUUCUCUGUGUUUCUCAUGAAGAUGCUUAUUUUAUAUCUCAUUUAUAUUCAUGAUUUAACCUUGAAUUGAGGUGAUUUCUUUCCUCUUAAAUAAGUCUUUCCUUCAACUGCUUUCUUAUUGCUUGUGGAUAUCUCCUAAUUUAAGAGUGGAGAAUCAUGUGUUUUUACAACUACUAAAGAAACUGUACCUCCUUACUGUGAUUUCCAUUGUUGGAAAUUCGCAUUGAGUAAAAAUACUUUCCUCAUUCUCAUCUUAUUCUUUCUUCGACGGGAUUCUCUUUGGGAAGAUACUUGAUGUUUGCCACAAAAGCCUGGAAGAGCUUUUCAGGGCACCAUACAAAACAGUAUGCCCUUCAAGUUAGGCAGAGCCAGGCUUUAAAUCUUGGCUUUUUUGUGUAACUUAGUCAGCUUGCUUUAUCUUUCAGAACCUCAGUUUCCUCAUCUGUUAAAUGAGGUUAAUAAUACAUAUUUCAGAAAGUUAUUUUGAAGAUGAAAUAAAAUAAAGUGUGCUGAGGACCUAUAAUAAUACUUAGUACAUAGUAGAUAUACAAUGGCACAUGAAUAUUAUUAUUAAUUCCCCACACACUAACUUUCCAACAAUUCUCAAUUUUCCUUAAAGUAACAGAUCAAAUUUAAUUUCUUAACACUAUAGUAUUUCUAUUUAAAAUAUUUAGUGCCAGUUGUCCGUUUCUUUCCUUAAUCUAAUCAUUUAACUAUACCAAAAUGUCCUAACUUCAUAAUUAUUUGUAGGUUUAUUCAAAAAAGUUGGCAUGGUGGUAACCAAGCCCAAGGCAUGUGUUUAUCAUUAGCCUAGACUUUUUCUACUACCCGUUCUGUGUCUAGGUCUGAAGCUGUAGCUUUCCCAAAAUGCCUCGCCCAGAGAAAAGCAAUUGCAGAGUCCCUGCCUCUGUAGUCUGCCCUAACCAAGCCCAGGGCACUGAUUGUUUCCAUCCUGUACUUUACAGAAAUUGGCCUCCUCUGUUUGAUUUGAAGUCAUGAGUCUGGAUCACAGUGAGCGGUGCACUCUGCUUAAUGAAUCAUUAGUAGGACAGAGAAAAGAACAGACUCAAUUACAUGCUGGGUUGGUUAACCAGCCUUUCUCUGAACACUGCCCUGCUCCAACCUACGCUGAAACAGGGAGGCUUUUGUAUAGCAACGACUCCCUCGCCAGUAGUUCUGUCUGUUGAACCUAAGACCCAUAUUCUACAUUCUUGAUUGAUUUUAAUCUGACUUGGCAGCUUUCUUAAGUACUGUGGCCAUCUGCAAGCAGGAAUAAUGAUGGCUUUGUACAAACAUCAUAGCUGCUGGGCUCCCUGCCUCACUUCCCUCUUUCUGUCUUCUUGACCGCAUGCUUCAUCACCUGCAGGUGUCAAACUUUGCUUGGUGGCCCUUCAGAGUCAGGCUCUGGGGGCUUGCUCAGGAGGUGAUGAGCCCAAGAAAAAAGGGGAAAGAGAGUGGUGAAUAGAUAAACCGUAAACAAAUUAAUUAGGUGAUGGUAAGUGCUACCCUCCUCUCCUCUGCAUCUGGGGCUCCAGCCUUAGAAUAUAAAGUUUGUUGAAUGAGCUAUGUUCUCUCCCACCUCAGUGACUUUGAACAUACCUGUGGAAACCUUCCUCAACCUUUAGAAAACCUCAGCCCUUUCCACCUCCUUGACAUUCCCGAGAUCAUGGCCCCUCCUAUGAUUUAUUGUUGUCUGUCUACUCCUACUAGUCCAGAGGCUCCUUACAAGCAGGGACCAUGU
Equus caballus (horse) is the source of this 3456-nucleotide long non-coding RNA. The record is from Ensembl. NCBI's taxonomy places the organism in Eukaryota, Metazoa, Chordata, Mammalia, Perissodactyla, Equidae.